UACGACGUACGAGUUAGGGUACGUACGUACUGGGCUCAGGGAUGAACGCUGGCGGCGUGCCUAAUACAUGCAAGUCGAACGAGGUGGAUGGGAGCUUGCUCCUUGAUACCGAGUGGCGAACGGGUGAGUAACACGUAGGUAACCUGCCCUUAAGCCUGGGAUACCCAGAGGAAACUUUGGCUAAUACCGGAUAACAACAGAGGAGGCAUCUCCUUUGCUUGAAAGGCCCUGCAAGGGGUCACUUAAGGAUGGACCUGCGGCGCAUUAGCUAGUUGGUGAGAUAAAAGCCCACCAAGGCGAGGAUGCGUAGCCGACCUGAGAGGGUGAUCGGCCACAUUGGAACUGAGACACGGUCCAAACUCCUACGGGAGGCAGCAGUAAGGAGUUUUCGGCAAUGGGGGAAACCCUGACCGAGCAACGCCGCGUGAAGUGAUGACGGCCCUAUGGGUUGUAAAGCUCUGUUGUAAGGGACGAACGAUCGCUUAGGAAAUGAAGCGGUUCUGACGGUACCUUACCAGAAAGCCACGGCUAACUACGUGCCAGCCGCGGC
RNAcentral lists this ribosomal RNA (550 nucleotides) under uncultured bacterium. Its description in RNAcentral is "bacterial SSU rRNA". It matches the Rfam family "Bacterial small subunit ribosomal RNA", at positions 1 to 518 of the family's 1533-position model. The record is from RNAcentral.